AGUUUUGGUAGAGAAGACCGUGUGAGAACAAAGACAGGAGCUCAGGAAGUUGAGCAUUUAGUCACCAGAGCGAUGGCUGGAGGGUGGAGGCUGAGCGCUGCGCUGCUGCUGAGUGUGUUCGUGCAGGCUUUGAGCGGGCAGCCAGUGAAGUGCACCGUCUCCCAUGAUGGUGGCACGACCACGUACGCCCUCCAGACCGAGUUUUCUGACAAGGAUGUGCAGAAGCCCGAGUUCUCGUGGUUUAACAUCUCCAAAUACGUCCUCGCCAACCACCUCGAUCAAAUUGCUGUGGUGAUAAGUCGCAGCUUCAACGCUCUCACUAUCAGAGCUUGCAUCGAAAACCUUUUCUGUGAAGGACACGUCAACUCCAAGGGGAAACCUCUCGACUACACGGCCAACUGCACCACCGUCUGCCCUCCCGUAGCUUUGCCCGGAGACCAAGGUGAAAAAAACAGGAACUCUCAUCACUGGAUCAUCCCUGUCAUUGUCAUUGUCAUAGUGAUAGUGAUAGCGCUUGCAUGCAUCAUCCUGUGCUGCAGAAAUGAAAAUCUCAGGAGAUGCCGCUGUGGGCAAACCAGAGGACUUUACAUCGUCGGGAAGAAAGAAGCAGCAAAGCCAGAAAUUGUGUAGAAAGAACAGAUCUGAAACGAUGAUCUUUCCCCUUUUUUCACUUUGAAGUAGAGUGUGCAUGAAAAGGUUAAUCUCCACCUGUGAGUGGAUGCUUUCUGUAGUUUCCCACUGCAUCUACACAGUAAGUGUAGAUGCAGUGGGAGUGUGGACACUUCCUCUGGACUCAUCUUCAGUUUCUCUUUGUUCGUACUUUGGCACAGUUAAUGACAGCACAGUGGUGGUAAUGAGUGACAGAAUGACACUUAUGUGACUGGAUGCUGGAGACUUGAGGUGCUAAACUCUAAGUCAUGUGUGACCUUUUAUUUUAAGCAUUACUUAAUGAUGAUAAUAAUAAUAAUAAUAAUAAUAAUAAUAAUAAUAAUAAUUCGUCUCUGAAGCAGUGGGCAGCCACUGGGCGCCCGGGGAGCAGCGUGUAGGGACGGUACCUUGCUCAGGGGUACCUCAGGGUAGCUGUUUAGUGGAUUCGAACCCUCCUGUUUUGCAUUAUACUUGCCAAAGCUGAACCCCAGCUCACUGAUUAGUGUCACUGUAACUGUAUCUGGCUACGGCCUCGAUCCCGUUGUUGAUUUUAUUCCACUUGCCGGUUAGCUGUGAGGGAUUGGUGCACAGGUGAAAAGUUCUCUGGGCUGUGGAAGCUCUCAGACUCUUUGCUGCACCAGCGAGUGCACUUUGAGGAGCCAAAAAGCAUUAAUACAUUAAUACAACCCCCCCCGUGUAAACCAGCUGUGGAAGCUCAGAGACUCAUAAUGCAGCACCAGGGCGUGCACUUUCAGUGUCCUAUAGCAUUACAGCACAUAGUAUAUAUAACAUAUAGUAAUAUAAAGAUGAAUAUAGAUGACUUACUAUCUAUAGCUACUGAUAUUUUAUAAUAUGAAACUAUAUUAUUUAUAUAUAAAUAUAUUAUUUUUAUUAUUAUAUAACUUAUAAAGAUGAACAUUGCGAUCUUAAACUACUCGUCAUGUGUCCUCUUUACGCUGUCCUUAUGAAGUGUAUAUUUUAAGCUGUCAAUCAAACAUUUGUUUCUCUAUCUGCUGUAUUACUGUUUCUUUUUCACUCAUUAAAAGCUUCUGCUCAGACUCAUGAGCUCAUUGUGUUUUUUGCAGCUCAUGCUUGGUUUUAGUUUGUUUUUUCUUUCUUCCUGUUUUUCCUACAGGGGCUUUUUUUGGGUCUUCUAUCUGGUGAUAUGUUCUGAGCCAAUUGAAGCUGAGCAGGUGGGUUGACACAUGCACAAGGAAAUGAUUGGUCAUGUUUGUGCUGCUGCCACUUCAGAACACGAUGCCUCUGCACAUUUAAGCAAUGACAGUCACGAGUCUUGUUCUGGGGUGGGGGCUUUUUGAUGAAGCUACAGAGGAGUCCUUAAACGUUCUUAAUUUUUUUUGCUGAUGUAAAAUUUAAAAAUGUAGUUAUAAAAUCCAGAAUGCAUGCUGGUGCUGCGGGUGGCCGUGUAACUCCAACAGCAUUUACUGUGUGUGUACAUAACAGGAAGGAAGAGGGCAGAGGGGCUUUUCUAAU
This is a long non-coding RNA of Astatotilapia calliptera (eastern happy), 2142 nucleotides long. NCBI's taxonomy places the organism in Eukaryota, Metazoa, Chordata, Actinopteri, Cichliformes, Cichlidae. The record is from Ensembl.